UACAGAGGGUGCUAGCGUUAAUCGGAAUUACUGGGCGUAAAGGGUGUGUAGGUGGUUCAAGUAAGUCAGAUGUAAAAACCCCGGGCUUAACCUGGGAAUGUCGUUUGAUACUGCUUAGCUAGAGUACUAUAGAGGACAGUGGAAUUUCCAGUGUAGCGGUGAAAUGCGUAGAUAUUGGAAGGAACACCAGUGGCGAAGGCGACUGUCUGGAUAGAUACUGACACUGAAACACGAAAGCAUGGGUAGCAAACAGG
RNAcentral lists this ribosomal RNA (254 nucleotides) under uncultured bacterium. RNAcentral's name for it is "partial 16S ribosomal RNA". It matches the Rfam family "Bacterial small subunit ribosomal RNA", at positions 524 to 776 of the family's 1533-position model. The record is from RNAcentral.